GGACCCGCACAAGCGGUGGAGCAUGUGGUUUAAUUCGAUGCAACGCGAAGAACCUUACCUGGUCUUGACAUCCUGCGAACUUUCUAGAAAUAGAUUGGUGCCUUCGGGAACGCAGUGACAGGUGCUGCAUGGCUGUCGUCAGCUCGUGUCGUGAGAUGUUGGGUUAAGUCCCGUAACGAGCGCAACCCCUAUCCUUAUUUGCCAGCACAUUAUGGUGGGAACUAUAAGGAGACUGCCGGUGAUAAACCGGAGGAAGGCGGGGACGACGUCAAGUCAUCAUGGCCCUUACGACCAGGGCUACACACGUGCUACAAUGGGAUGGACAAAGAGUCGCGAAGCCGCGAGGUGUAGCUAAUCUCAUAAACCUUGUCUCAGUUCGGAUAGGAGUCUGCAACUCGACUCCUUGAAGUUGGAGUCGCUAGUAA
This 425-nucleotide ribosomal RNA is filed under the name uncultured bacterium. RNAcentral's name for it is "bacterial SSU rRNA". It matches the Rfam family "Bacterial small subunit ribosomal RNA", at positions 917 to 1341 of the family's 1533-position model. The record is from RNAcentral.